Molecule: ribosomal RNA, 524 nt
Filed under: uncultured Acidobacteriota bacterium
Lineage: Bacteria; Pseudomonadati; Acidobacteriota
Description: bacterial SSU rRNA
Rfam family: Bacterial small subunit ribosomal RNA
Source: RNAcentral
UGGGGAAUCUUGCACAAUGGAGGAAACUCUGAUGCAGCGACGCCGCGUGAGCGAUGAAGCCCUUCGGGGUGUAAAGCUCUUUCGGCAGGGAAGAUUAUGACGGUACCUGCAGAAGCAGCUGCGGCUAACUACGUGCCAGCAGCCGCGGUAAUACGUAGGCAGCAAGCGUCGUUCGGAGUUACUGGGCGUAAAGGGUGCGUAGGCGGCUUUUUAAGUUUGGUGUGAAAUCUCCCGGCUCAACUGGGAGGGUGCGCCGAAUACUGAGAGGCUAGAGUGCGGGAGAGGAAAGUGGAAUUCCUGGUGUAGCGGUGAAAUGCGUAGAUAUCAGGAGGAACACCGGUGGUGUAAACGGCUUUCUGGACCGUAACUGACGCUGAUGCACGAAAGCGUGGGUAGCAAACAGGAUUAGAUACCCUGGUAGUCCACGCCCUAAACGAUGCAUAUUUGGUGUGGGCCAUUCAUUUGGUCUGUGCCGGAGCUAACGCGUUAAAUAUGCCGCCUGGGGAGUACAGUCGCAAGGCUGA